AUUGAACGCUGGCGGCAUGCCUUACACAUGCAAGUCGAACGGCAGCGCGGGGCAACCUGGCGGCGAGUGGCGAACGGGUGAGUAAUAUAUCGGAACAUACCCUAGAGUGGGGGAUAACGUAGCGAAAGUUACGCUAAUACCGCAUACGCACUAAGGUGGAAAGUGGGGGAUCUUCGGACCUCAUGCUCAUGGAGUGGCCGAUAUCUGAUUAGCUAGUUGGUGAGGUAAAGGCUCACCAAGGCGGCGAUCAGUAGCUGGUUUGAGAGAACGACCAGCCACACUGGAACUGAGACACGGUCCAGACUCCUACGGGAGGCAGCAGUGGGGAAUUUUGGACAAUGGGGGCAACCCUGAUCCAGCAAUGCCGCGUGAGUGAAGAAGGCCUCGGUUGUAAGACUCUUUGUCUAGGGAAGAACGGAGAGU
Molecule: ribosomal RNA, 423 nt
Filed under: uncultured bacterium
Lineage: Bacteria
Description: bacterial SSU rRNA
Rfam family: Bacterial small subunit ribosomal RNA
Source: RNAcentral